Molecule: ribosomal RNA, 494 nt
Filed under: uncultured bacterium
Lineage: Bacteria
Description: bacterial SSU rRNA
Rfam family: Bacterial small subunit ribosomal RNA
Source: RNAcentral
AAAGGAAUUGACGGGGGCCCGCACAAGCGGUGGAGCAUGUGGUUUAAUUCGACGCAACGCGAAGAACCUUACCAGCCCUUGACAUGGCAGGACGACUUCCAGAGAUGGAUUUCUUCCCUUCGGGGACCUGUACACAGGUGCUGCAUGGCUGUCGUCAGCUCGUGUCGUGAGAUGUUGGGUUAAGUCCCGCAACGAGCGCAACCCUCGCUUUUAGUUGCCAUCAUUUAGUUGGGCACUCUAGAGGGACUGCCGGUGAUAAGCCGGAGGAAGGUGGGGAUGACGUCAAGUCUUCAUGGCCCUUACGGGCUGGGCUACACACGUGCUACAAUGGCGGUGACAGAGGGCGGCCACAGCGCGAGCUGGAGCUAAUCCCAAAAAACCGUCUCAGUUCGGAUUGCACUCUGCAACUCGAGUGCAUGAAGUCGGAAUCGCUAGUAAUCGCAGAUCAGCACGCUGCGGUGAAUACGUUCCCGGGCCUUGUACACACCGCCCGU